This 253-nucleotide ribosomal RNA is filed under the name uncultured bacterium. RNAcentral describes it as "partial 16S ribosomal RNA". It matches the Rfam family "Bacterial small subunit ribosomal RNA", at positions 524 to 776 of the family's 1533-position model. The record is from RNAcentral.
GACAGAGGGUGCAAACGUUGCUCGGAUUUACUGGGCGUAAAGCGCGUGUAGGCGGGCGACUAAGUCGGAUGUGAAAUCCCUGGGCUCAACCUAGGAACUGCAUUCGAAACUGGUCACCUAGAGUGAUGGAGAGGGAAGCGGAAUUCCCGGUGUAGAGGUGAAAUUCGUAGAUAUCGGGAGGAACACCAGUGGCGAAGGCGGCUUUCUGGACAUUUACUGACGCUGAGACGCGAAAGCGUGGGGAGCAAACAGG